UAUCCGGAAUUAUUGGGCGUAAAGGGCUCGUAGGCGGUUCGUCGCGUCCGGUGUGAAAGUCCAUCGCUUAACGGUGGAUCCGCGCCGGGUACGGGCGGGCUUGAGUGCGGUAGGGGAGACUGGAAUUCCCGGUGUAACGGUGGAAUGUGUAGAUAUCGGGAAGAACACCAAUGGCGAAGGCAGGUCUCUGGGCCGUUACUGACGCUGAGGAGCGAAAGCGUGGGGAGCGAACAGGAUUAGAUACCCUGGUAGUCCACGCCGUAAACGGUGGAUGCUGGAUGUGGGGCCCGUUCCACGGGUUCCGUGUCGGGGCUACGCGUGAAGCAUC
This 328-nucleotide ribosomal RNA is filed under the name uncultured bacterium. Its description in RNAcentral is "bacterial SSU rRNA". It matches the Rfam family "Bacterial small subunit ribosomal RNA", at positions 542 to 868 of the family's 1533-position model. The record is from RNAcentral.